This 301-nucleotide long non-coding RNA is filed under the name Jatropha curcas. RNAcentral's name for it is "long non-coding RNA (JCUR_LNC000927)". The record is from RNAcentral. Lineage: Eukaryota; Viridiplantae; Streptophyta; Magnoliopsida; Malpighiales; Euphorbiaceae.
AAAAUAAUUUUCAUGGCACCACACCUGCAGCUUGAGUUAGCUAACCCAAAGAAUUGGAUUAGCAAAAACGUGUCAUUUCACUUUGGCUUCUGUCUUCUCUUUCUUCUUUGUCGAUCUCCCUUCUCACUUUCUCUCUAUCAUGGAAUCUCAGUGACAUCCAUGGAACUCUCAUCUCUCUCUUCUGCUCUCUUUCUUUUUCCAAAAUUGAUUGGGUGAUUAUCUUUAUGUUUUCUGCUUAUUCCAAGUUUAAUGCUAUUCUUGAAACUCUUUGAUGGAUUAUUAUUUGAAGAUUGGAGUGCAG